CCUCCAUGGCCUCUGCAUCAGGUCCUGUAUCCUGACCUGCUUGAGUUCCAGUCCUGACCUCUUUUGGUGAUGAACAGCAUUUUGGAAAUUGACUCAACUGGGUUCCAGAGAGAAAGCAUGAUAGAUGCUGCUGUGUUCUUCGCCAAGGACUUCUUGGCUGGUGGAGUGGCCUCAGCAUCUUCAAGAUGGUGGUAGCACCCAUCAAGCAGGUUAAGCUGUGCAGCCUCCUAGCAAGCAAAUCAUGGCAGAUAAGCAAUAUAAAGGCAUUAUAGACUACAUGGUUUGCAUCUCCAAGGAAUAGGGAUGAUAAGUUAUUUCAUGCUCCUACCCAAAGAUGGUCUCACAGCCUGGACAGCAGUGAAACAGCCAGCUCUACCUGGACUUGGCCAACAAUGGAGUCCUGUC
Apodemus sylvaticus (European woodmouse) is the source of this 405-nucleotide long non-coding RNA. RefSeq lists it as uncharacterized. NCBI's taxonomy places the organism in Eukaryota, Metazoa, Chordata, Mammalia, Rodentia, Muridae. The record is from RefSeq and is a predicted model, not a curated record. The transcript is spliced from 3 exons.